AUCCUAAUAUAUUAGUCCAGAUGAAUCAAAAAAUAAACCUCCAAUUUUCCGAUGAAUAAAAAAAAAAAGAAAAAAAAACUUCUCGGAAUGUUCUACGCUUCCACUUGCCAUUUUCCCCCUUCUCUUGAAAACCUUGACUCAAUGUUUCACGUCCCGCUUCCAGCACACUCUCUCCCUCCUUCUUCUCCCAAACCAUAACUACAUAAACAUAAUUCAAGUGAUGUGCUGAAUUAUUCAACAGCAAAAGCUCAUCACAGUCUCAGCCAUAGUACAGGGGGUUUGGCUUGUGCCAAUCAGGUGAAGAAGAUGUUGCAUCCUGUCUGGGUGUUGAAUUUAUGAAGAGGAAGAAGUGUUUCCUUGUCGAUCGAUGUGUUAUGUGACUCAGAGGACUUCAGUAUUUGGGUUUUGAUUUCAAUUCACCCAUGGAAUGCAACAAGGAAGAAGCUCUGAGGGCGAAGCGAAUAGCUCAAAAUAGAAUGCAAAGCGGUGACUUUGUAGGGGGACUCAAGUUUGCUAUGAAAGCCAAACAAAUGUUUCCGGAGACUCAGAACAUUGCGCAGAUCCUUGCUGUUUGUGAGGUUCAUUGUGCUGCACAGAACAAAGUCUCCGGGUCUGACAUGGACUGGUAUGGAAUUCUUCAGACUGAACCAUUAGCUGGUGAAGUUACUAUAAGGAAACAAUAUAGGAAGCUGGCACUGCUACUUCAUCCUGACAAAAAUAAAUCUCCUGGGGCGGAGGCUGCUUUCAAGUUGAUUGAGGAAGCUAACCGAUUUUUGAGUGACCAAAUAAAGUGUUCUUCAUAUGAUUUGAGGAUCACAGGCCCUUUGAGGACUACAUUUUGGACACAUUGCUCACACUGUAAAACUAGGUACCAGUACUACAAAACCGUUAUGAAUGCUAAGUUGCGAUGCCAACAAUGUGCCAAGUCCUUUAGAGCCUAUGAUAUCGCAUACCAGGACGCAUCACCUGGAUAUACACGGUCAUCAUCUGAUAACCAUAAAAAGCCUCCAAAGCAUGUGCCACCAAAAGAAGCAUCAAAAAGUAAUGGGGGGAAACCUUGUGGUAGAAAGCCGAGGGAUAGGUUUGGGCGGUUUACUCCUGUGUAUAUGUCAAAACGCACUGCUGGAGUUGCUAAAGUAAGUGCCCCACCUGAAGAAUCAGUUUUAGAGAAUAAAAUGAAAAUUGCGCGGUCAAGUUUGCAAAGAAAGGAGGGCUCCAAGUCAGAUGUUGGUGAUAGAGAGCCCAAAUCGAGCAAAUGUUCUCCGCUUAAUUCAAAUUUGCACUCCCAUGCUCGAAAUCCCCCUCAGCGUGAUGAACUGCGAACUUUUUGGACAUAUUGCCCACACUGUAAAACUAGGUACCAGUACUGCAAAAACGUUAUGAAUGCUAAGUUGCGAUGCCAACAAUGUACCAAGUCCUUUAGAGCCUACGAUAUGGCAUACCAGGACGCAUCACCUGGAUAUACACGGUCAUCAUUUGAUAACCAUAAAGAACCUCCAAAGCAUGUGCCACCAAAAGAUGCAUCAAAAAGUGAUGGGGGGAAACCUUGUGGCAGAAGGCUGAGGGAUAAGUUUGGGCGGUUUUCUCCUGUGUCUAUGUCAAAACGCACCUCUGGAGUUGCUAAAGUAAGUUUCCCACCUGAAGAAUCAGUUUUAGAGAAUAGAAUGAAAAUUGAGCAGUCAAGUUUGAAGAGAAAGGAGGCCUCCAAGUCAGAUGUUGAUGAUAGAGAGCCCAAAUCGAGCAAAUGUUCUCCACUUAAUUCAAAUUUGCAUCCCAAUUUUGAGAUCUGGUACCCAGAUCCAGAAUUCAGUGAUUUUGAGAAGGAUAGGGCGGAGGAUUGUUUUGCUGCUAAUCAAUUCUGGGCUAUUUUUGAUGAUAUUGAUAGUAUGCCAAGAUUAUAUGCUCUCGUCCGGAAAGUCUACUCGCCUUUCAAGUUGAAGAUUACUUGGCUUGACAUUGACUCAGAUGAUCAAGGUGAGAUUGAUUGGCAUGAUGCUGGUUUGCCUGUUGCCUGUGGCAAGUAUAAACUUGGGAAAUCUUAUAGAACUGCAGAUCGUGCUAUGUUCUCUCACCAGAUCCAUUGCAUAAAAAGAAGCGACAUAGGUUCUUAUCUGGUUUAUCCCAAGAAGGGCGAGACUUGGGCAAUUUUCAGAGAUUGGGAUAUUGGGUGGAGUUCUAAUCCAGAAAAGCAUCCUGAAUAUCAAUUUGAAUAUGUGAAAGUCCGAUCUGAUUUUGAUAAGAAUAUUGGGAUUCGAGUUUCUUAUCUUGGCAAAGUGAAAGGGUUUGUUAGUAUCUUUCAGCAAACUGUGCAGGAUGGAUUUAGAUUAUUUUGCAUUCCGCCUAAUGAGCUGUACAGGUUUUCACAUCAAAUUCCUUCAUAUAAGAUGGCUGGUAAUGAAAGGGAAGGUGUUCCAAGAGGGUCUUUGGAACUUGACCCUGCUGGUCUUCCUAUUAGUCUUUUUGAAGUUGGUGGUUCUGGUGACGAGAAAUUGGAGGAUGGAGUGCUAAACAAUGGAAUCAAUGCUUCAAUUCAUAAAUCUUCCAUGUCUAAAGCUGAACAGGAAAUGUCUAAUGAGGGUACUCGCAAAGCAAAGUUGCCUGAGAGUAAUGCUUCUGGAAGAGUCUCGCCUAUCCUUUUAAGGUCACCAAGGUCAAAUGGUCAAGCAAGCACUUGUCAGUAUAUGUCAAAAUGUACAGCCGGAGUUGGUGUCUCUUACAAAGUUGAAAAGAGUAAAGGGGGCCAUGAGACUGCAGGAUUGACAAAGGCUAGUGUUGGAACUUCCAAACCUGGUACAUUCAAAGUCAAGGAAUCGCAAAACCCGAAAAAUGUUGGAAGUAAGAGAGCAAGGCAGUCAGCAUCAGAUUCGAGAGAUGAUCGCACGGCUGAAAUUGUUAAUGACUUGAAAGAUACCAAAGUUCGAGAAAACGGUGCUGAUCCUUCUGGGCUUGAUGCAGGAAUCCAUCAUAGAAAAUCUUCCAGGAAAAAACAGCGUGUUUCAUACACAGCUGAAGGUGGUGAUAGUCAGAGUUCUUCCAAAAGGUCACGGCAACAUGAAUCAUUUAAUAUUGCUGAAGUGGGGAGAAAAGAAGUGUCAGCUAAUGGUGGGUUGUUCAGUAACAGUAGUCCAGCUAGUUUCACUGCAGGUGUGGCUGGACAGAAUGGAGAGAUGAGAAACAAAGUAAGUGCCCCACCUGAAGAGUCGCUUUUAGAGAAUAAAAUGAAAAAUAAGAAGUCAAAAUUGCAAAGAAAGGCAGCAUCCAAGUCAGAUCAUGAUGAUAGAACGCCCAAAGCUGAUAAUUGUUCUCCACCUAAUUCAAAUUUGCCUCCCAAUUUAGAGGUCUGCUGCCCUGAUCCAGUCAGCUAAUGGUGGGUUGUUCAGUAACAGUAGUCCAGCUAGUUUCACUGCAGGUGUGGCUGGACAGAAUGGAGAGAUGAGAAACAAAGUAAGUGCCCCACCUGAAGAGUCGCUUUUAGAGAAUAAAAUGAAAAAUAAGAAGUCAAAAUUGCAAAGAAAGGCAGCAUCCAAGUCAGAUCAUGAUGAUAGAACGCCCAAAGCUGAUAAUUGUUCUCCACCUAAUUCAAAUUUGCCUCCCAAUUUAGAGAUCUGCUGCCCUGAUCCAGAUUUCAGUGAUUUUGAGAAGGAUAGGGUGGAAGACUGUUUUGCUGCUAGUCAAUUCUGGGCUGUUUUUGAUGAUAUUGAUGUUAUGCCAAGAUUCUAUGCUCUUAUCCGGAAAGUCUACUCCCCUUUCAAGUUGCAGAUUACUUGGCUUGAUGUUGACUCAGAUGACCAGGGUGAGAUUGAUUGGCAUGGUGCAGGUUUACCUGUUGCCUGUGGUAAGUACAAACUUGGUCCAUCUCAGAUAACUACAAAGCAUGCUAUGUUCUCUCACCAGAUACAUUGUAUAAAAGGAAGCGACAGGGGUUCCUAUCUGGUAUAUCCCAAGAAGGGAGAAACUUGGGCAAUUUUCAGAGAUUGGGAUAUUGGAUGGAGUUCAAAUCCUGGAAAGCAUUCCAAAUAUCAAUUUGAGUAUGUGGAAGUCCUAUCUGAUUUUGAUGAGAAUAUUGGUAUUGGAGUUUCUUAUCUUGGCAAAGUGAAAGGGUUUGUUAGCCUCUUUCAAAAAACUGUGCAAAAUGGAUUUAGAUCAUUUUGCAUUCCACCUAAUGAGCUAUACCGAUUUUCACAUCAGAUUCCUUCGUAUAAGAUGACUGGUGAUGAAAGAGAAGGUGUUCCAAGAGGUUCUUUUGAACUUGACCCCGCCGGUCUGCCUCUUAGUCUUUUUGAAGUUCACAAUUCUGGUCUUACCAAUCCUUAGAAAGAAGUACACCACAGUCAAAUAUAAGAAAGCACUAGUCAGUAUGAACUAUGAACUAUGACAAAGAGAUUGGCCACAGGGACUAAGGUCACCAAGAGUUAAGCACGGAAAAUCAUUUAAGAGAUGCAGGUGAAUGUUCAACGGGCAAGUUGACUGAUAAUUACAGACACUGACAAAACUAUGAAGGACAACAAUUGAGCUGAGCUGACAUUUAUUCUAAUGAAUCGAAUUUCACCAUAAGUAUGUAUGUACAUUGUUCAUCCCAGAGCGAAUGGAGCUGACAUGUUAAACUAAAUCGUUUUCUACUAUAUGUAUAUGUUAUCAUAAUUGUUCUUUUUUA
Lotus japonicus is the source of this 4654-nucleotide RNA transcript. RefSeq lists it as uncharacterized. The transcript is spliced from 2 exons. The record is from RefSeq and is a predicted model, not a curated record. NCBI's taxonomy places the organism in Eukaryota, Viridiplantae, Streptophyta, Magnoliopsida, Fabales, Fabaceae.